RNAcentral lists this ribosomal RNA (223 nucleotides) under uncultured bacterium. RNAcentral's name for it is "partial 16S ribosomal RNA". It matches the Rfam family "Bacterial small subunit ribosomal RNA", at positions 524 to 744 of the family's 1533-position model. The record is from RNAcentral.
UACGUAGGUGGCAAGCGUUGUCCGGAAUUAUUGGGCGUAAAGCGCGUGUAGGUGGGUCGUUAAGUGUCCGCGUGAAAUCCCACGGCUCAACCGUGGAACUGCCGGGCAUACUGGCGAUCGUUGAGGCAUUCAGGGGCGAGCGGAACAGAUGGUGGAGCGGUGAAAUGCGUAGAUAUCAUCUGGAACGCCAAUGGUGAAGACAGCUCGCUGGGGGUGUACUGAC